This 545-nucleotide ribosomal RNA is filed under the name Curvularia aeria. RNAcentral describes it as "eukaryotic LSU rRNA". The stretch from base 179 to 332 matches the Rfam family "5.8S ribosomal RNA". The record is from RNAcentral. Lineage: Eukaryota; Fungi; Ascomycota; Dothideomycetes; Pleosporales; Pleosporaceae.
UGCGGAGGGAUCAUUACACAAAUUAAAAUAUGAAGGCUUCGGCUGGAUUAUUUUUAUCACCCUUGUCUUUUGCGCACUUGUUGUUUCCUGGGCGGGUUCGCCCGCCACCAGGACCACACCAUAAACCUUUUUUAUGCAGUUGCAAUCAGCGUCAGUAUAACAAAUGUAAAUCAUUUACAACUUUCAACAACGGAUCUCUUGGUUCUGGCAUCGAUGAAGAACGCAGCGAAAUGCGAUACGUAGUGUGAAUUGCAGAAUUCAGUGAAUCAUCGAAUCUUUGAACGCACAUUGCGCCCUUUGGUAUUCCAAAGGGCAUGCCUGUUCGAGCGUCAUUUGUACCUUCAAGCUUUGCUUGGUGUUGGGCGUCUUUUGUCUUUGGCCUCGCCCAAAGACUCGCCUUAAAACGAUUGGCAGCCGGCCUACUGGUUUCGCAGCGCAGCACAUUUUUGCGCUUGCAAUCAGCAAAAAGGACGGCAAUCCAUCAAGACUACAUUUUUACGUUUGACCUCGGAUCAGGUAGGGAUACCCGCUGAACUUAAGCAUAU